UAUGACAGUUUGAGGGAGAAGAAGGCAAAGUUAAUGGGUUGAACUUUGAAGGACUCUGAAUUGUGGCUCUCGAUGGUGGAACUCUGCCUGCCAGCAAGACAGAUAUUCAAUUGAAGGUGUUCCAAUCUCAAGUUCUCAACAAUUCAAGAAUUCUUACAAUUAAGGCUUAGAAGUUAGAACUGGAGCAACGUAGGAGCACUGCAGUUGGUCGGUUGAGAGGGAAAAUGCUUUUAAUCAAGGAAUGGAGUCAACAUUGACGAAUCUCAGCUCUACACAAGCUGAUGCAUAGCAGGCAACAGCCAACAUCAAACUUUGACUCUUUGAGUGAGGCAGGGAGCACAACAAGCAAGUAUGAAGUGACGAUGAGAUGAAAUUUGAGUCUUUGAAAGUUUGAAUACUUUGUUUUCAACUGUUGUCCGCUUUGUUAUUGUAUGAUUCAUUCAUUUGUGUGAACUGUAAGUGAUGAUAUGAAUUAUGAAGUGAUGAUAAGAUGAAGUGAUGAACUGUAAGUGAUGAUAUGAACUAUGAAGUGUUGAACUGA
Rosa rugosa (rugosa rose) is the source of this 541-nucleotide long non-coding RNA. RefSeq lists it as uncharacterized. The transcript has 4 exons. The record is from RefSeq and is a predicted model, not a curated record. Lineage: Eukaryota; Viridiplantae; Streptophyta; Magnoliopsida; Rosales; Rosaceae.